AACGGCCAAGAACCUUACCUGGUCUUGACAUCCACGGAAGUUUUCAGAGAUGAGAAUGUGCCUUCGGGAACCGUGAGACAGGUGCUGCAUGGCUGUCGUCAGCUCGUGUUGUGAAAUGUUGGGUUAAGUCCCGCAACGAGCGCAACCCUUAUCCUUUGUUGCCAGCGGUCCGGCCGGGAACUCAAAGGAGACUGCCAGUGAUAAACUGGAGGAAGGUGGGGAUGACGUCAAGUCAUCAUGGCCCUUACGACCAGGGCUACACACGUGCUACAAUGGCGCAUACAAAGAGAAGCGACCUCGCGAGAGCAAGCGGACCUCAUAAAGUGCGUCGUAGUCCGGAUUGGAGUCUGCAACUCGACUCCAUGAAGUCGGAAUCGCUAGUAUCGUGGAUCAGAAUGCCACGGUGAAUACGUUCCCGGGCCUUGUACACACCG
RNAcentral lists this ribosomal RNA (434 nucleotides) under uncultured bacterium. Its description in RNAcentral is "bacterial SSU rRNA". It matches the Rfam family "Bacterial small subunit ribosomal RNA", at positions 957 to 1392 of the family's 1533-position model. The record is from RNAcentral.